Molecule: long non-coding RNA, 235 nt
Filed under: Callithrix jacchus (white-tufted-ear marmoset)
Lineage: Eukaryota; Metazoa; Chordata; Mammalia; Primates; Cebidae
Description: lncRNA (ENSCJAG00000080676.1)
Source: RNAcentral
GGGAAGGAAAGAAGAAGAUAUUCCUUUACUCUGGUGAGAAACUGGCACUAUGAAGGAGGAAAAUGGAUAGGUUGAAAGGCCCAGGCCGAAACGGCUUGCCUCCAGCAACAGCCAGUCCCAGGAUGUUCCUCCAAAACAGGUUGUUUCCCAUAACCCUCCCACACCUUUACUGAACUCUCCACAAUGACCUUGUUCAAGAGGACUGCUUCUGUCUAACCAGGAGGGCUGCCAGGCC